UAAUACGUAGAAGGCAAGCGUUAUCCGGAUUUAUUGGGCGUAGAGCGGGUGUAGGUGGCUCUUCAAGUCGGAUGUAAAAUCUCCCGGCUUAACCGGGAGGGACCAUUCGAUACUGCUGGGCUAGAGUGCAGUAGAGGGAGGUGGAAUUCCCGGUGUAGUGGUGAAAUGCGUAGAUAUCGGGAGGAACACCAGUGGCGAAGGCGGCCUCCUGGGCUGCUACUGACGCUGAGACCCAAAAGCGUGGGGAGCGAACAGGAUUAGAUACCCUGGUAGUCCACGCCGUAAACGAUGGACACUAGGUAUGGAGAGUAUCGACCCUUUCCGUGCCGAAGCUAACGCAUUAAGUGUCCCGCCUGGGGAGUACGGUCGCAAGACUA
RNAcentral lists this ribosomal RNA (377 nucleotides) under uncultured bacterium. RNAcentral describes it as "bacterial SSU rRNA". It matches the Rfam family "Bacterial small subunit ribosomal RNA", at positions 521 to 896 of the family's 1533-position model. The record is from RNAcentral.